AUUGAACGCUGGCGGCAUGCUUUACACAUGCAAGUCGAACGGCAGCGCGGGCUUCGGCCUGGCGUCGAGUGGCGAACGGGUGAGUAAUACAUCGGAACGUGCCCAGUAGUGGGGGAUAGCUCGGCGAAAGCCGGAUUAAUACCGCAUACGACCUGAGGGUGAAAGCGGGGGAUCUUCGGACCUCGCGCUAUUGGAGCGGCCGAUGGCAGAUUAGCUAGUUGGUGGGGUAAAGGCCUACCAAGGCGACGAUCUGUAGCUGGUCUGAGAGGACGACCAGCCACACUGGGACUGAGACACGGCCCAGACUCCUACGGGAGGCAGCAGUGGGGAAUUUUGGACAAUGGGCGAAAGCCUGAUCCAGCAAUGCCGCGUGUGUGAUGAAGGCCUUCGGGUUGUAAAGCACUUUUGGCGGGAACGAAAAGGACUGUGCCAAUACCACGGUUCGAUGACGGUACCCGCAGAAUAAGCACCGGCUAACUACGUG
RNAcentral lists this ribosomal RNA (484 nucleotides) under uncultured bacterium. Its description in RNAcentral is "partial 16S ribosomal RNA". It matches the Rfam family "Bacterial small subunit ribosomal RNA", at positions 29 to 507 of the family's 1533-position model. The record is from RNAcentral.